GAAGAACACGUAUGAGAGUAACUGUUCAUACGUUGACGGUAUUUAACCAGAAAGUCACGGCUAACUACGUGCCAGCAGCCGCGGUAAUACGUAGGUGGCAAGCGUUAUCCGGGAUUUAUUGGGCGUAAAGAGAGUGCAGGCGGUUUUUUAAGUCUGAUGUGAAAGCCUUCGGCUUAACCGGAGAAGUGCAUCGGAAACUGGAUAACUUGAGUGCAGAAGAGGGUAGUGGAACUCCAUGUGUAGCGGUGGAAUGCGUAGAUAUAUGGAAGAACACCAGUGGCGAAGGCGGCUACCUGGUCUGCAACUGACGCUGAGACUCGAAAGCAUGGGUAGCGAACAGGAUUAGAUACCCUGGUAGUCCAUGCCGUAAACGAUGAGUGCUAGGUGUUGGAGGGUUUCCGCCCUUCAGUGCCGGAGCUAACGCAUUAAGCACUCCGCCUGGGGAGUACGACCGCAAGGUUGAAACUCAAAGGAAUUGACGGGGGCCCGCACAAGCGGUGGAGCAUGUGGUUUAAUUCGAAGCUACGCGAAGAACCUUACCAGGUCUUGACAUCUUGCGCCAACCCUAGAGAUAGGGCGUUUCCUUCGGGAACGCAAUGACAGGUGGUGCAUGGUCGUC
Molecule: ribosomal RNA, 619 nt
Filed under: Limosilactobacillus fermentum
Lineage: Bacteria; Bacillati; Bacillota; Bacilli; Lactobacillales; Lactobacillaceae
Description: bacterial SSU rRNA
Rfam family: Bacterial small subunit ribosomal RNA
Source: RNAcentral